GGUGAAACAUGGCUGAGAUAAAGGAACCUCUGUGCUUCCCCCCAAAGCACUACUCCUUUGACACCCUUGUAUGGAAACAGUUAAUAUUUUCUCAUUGUUCGGAAUAUGCUUCUUCCUUCUCUGUGCCAUGGAAAAAAAAUCACUCAGUAUCAAACAGCUGAGAGAGCUGACUGGGGAUGGAUCUGGUACCUCUGAGAUACUCUAUUGAUUUGAAGCAUGAAAAAUCCGAAGAAUAAAAAAAUAUGGUGCCACAUCAUCUGCUGGAGAAGAAUUUGAAUGGCAGCAUGUACGCCCAUCAGCUUCAGGAGGGAAAAUGCGCUGUGCACAGAAUGGAUUUCCUAGAUGCUCACUGGGUUUACAGGUUCGCUUUAAAGAAGGAGAGACAUUCAAGUCACCUACUACCAUAGAAGAAACGAUCACUGUACAAAUGGAUUUCUUUU
RNAcentral lists this long non-coding RNA (440 nucleotides) under Coturnix japonica (Japanese quail). RNAcentral's name for it is "lncRNA (ENSCJPG00005003001.1)". The record is from RNAcentral. Lineage: Eukaryota; Metazoa; Chordata; Aves; Galliformes; Phasianidae.